Molecule: small RNA, 28 nt
Filed under: Bombyx mori (domestic silkworm)
Lineage: Eukaryota; Metazoa; Arthropoda; Insecta; Lepidoptera; Bombycidae
Description: ovarian small RNA-20203
Source: RNAcentral
UACACCUUCCCCCGGAGCGGUCGGGGGA